UCUUGGUCAUUUAGAGGAAGUAAAAGUCGUAACAAGGUCUCCGUAGGUGAACCUGCGGAGGGAUCAUUACACAAAUAUGAAGGCGGGCUGGAACCUCUCGGGGUUACAGCCUUGCUGAAUUAUUCACCCUUGUCUUUUGCGUACUUCUUGUUUCCUUGGUGGGUUCGCCCACCACUAGGACAAACAUAAACCUUUUGUAAUUGCAAUCAGCGUCAGUAACAAAUUAAUAAUUACAACUUUCAACAACGGAUCUCUUGGUUCUGGCAUCGAUGAAGAACGCAGCGAAAUGCGAUAAGUAGUGUGAAUUGCAGAAUUCAGUGAAUCAUCGAAUCUUUGAACGCACAUUGCGCCCUUUGGUAUUCCAAAGGGCAUGCCUGUUCGAGCGUCAUUUGUACCCUCAAGCUUUGCUUGGUGUUGGGCGUCUUGUCUCUAGCUUUGCUGGAGACUCGCCUUAAAGUAAUUGGCAGCCGGCCUACUGGUUUCGGAGCGCAGCACAAGUCGCACUCUCUAUCAGCAAAGGUCUAGCAUCCAUUAAGCCUUUUUUUCAACUUUUGACCUCGGAUCAGGUAGGGAUACCCGCUGAACUUAAGCAUAUCAAUAAGCGGGAGGA
Molecule: ribosomal RNA, 610 nt
Filed under: fungal sp. MG145C3L9x
Lineage: Eukaryota; Fungi
Description: eukaryotic LSU rRNA
Rfam family: 5.8S ribosomal RNA (bases 235-388)
Source: RNAcentral